Molecule: ribosomal RNA, 484 nt
Filed under: uncultured bacterium
Lineage: Bacteria
Description: partial 16S ribosomal RNA
Rfam family: Bacterial small subunit ribosomal RNA
Source: RNAcentral
AUUGAACGCUGGCGGCAGGCCUAACACAUGCAAGUCGAGCGGAUGAAGGGAGCUUGCUCCUGGAUUCAGCGGCGGACGGGUGUGUAAUGCCCAGGAAUCUGCCUGGUAGUGGGGGAUAACGUCCGGAAACGGGCGCUAAUACUGCAUACGUCCUGAGGGUGAAAGAGGGGGAUCUUCGGACCUCACGCUAUCAGAUGAGCCUAGGGCGGAUUAGCUAGUUGGUGGGGUAAAGGCCUACCAAGGCGACGAUCCGUAACUGGUCUGAGAGGAUGAUCAGUCACACUGGGACUGAGACACGGUCCAGACGCCUACGGGAAGCAGCAGUGGGGAAUAUUGGAGAAUGGGCGGAAGCCUGAUCCAGACAUGCCGCGUGUGUGAAGAAGGUCUUCGGAUGGGAAAGCACUGUAAGUUGGGAGGAAGGGCAGUAAGUUAAUACCGUGCUGUUUUGACGUGACCAACAGAAUGAGCACCGGCUAACUUCGUG